Molecule: long non-coding RNA, 738 nt
Filed under: Equus caballus (horse)
Lineage: Eukaryota; Metazoa; Chordata; Mammalia; Perissodactyla; Equidae
Description: lncRNA (ENSECAG00000031117.3)
Source: RNAcentral
CUCGUCUAGCCGACGGAGACGGAAUCCGGAAGUUCAGCGAAGUUUUCCGUGGAGCAGUUUCCAUCAGAGGGCAGAGUCAGCUUGGAGGGCAGAAUCUCCUUGACAGCGGAGCAUUUGAAUCACUGUGAAAGAAAGAUGAGAGCAAGAGGGAAUGUGCAGCGCCAGACGCCGGGCCCUGUAGGUCAUGGAGAAAAUGUGUAAAGUGUCUCUACAUGUCAACAUACAUAUUGCCCUUCACUUAUAAAUCAGAGAAGUUACAUUAUGUUGAAUUCUAAAAGCACCUUGUGCUCCUGCCAGAUUGACAAUUCAUUCAGCAACGGAAAACUGCUCCUAUAACGGCUCACAUCUGAGAGGACUUGAUUCCAUAAAACAGGGUUUUUUUCCCUGUCAAGUGACAUCCUUGAGAUUUUGCUUUCUAUAAAAAUUCUACUUUAUAAAAGAACAUAUUAGAGGAGGUCGGUUCUUUGGGAACACAUCUAGUGUCCACAGAAGUGGGAAAGGGCCUGACGCUGGGGACUCCCUUCACAUCAAGGAGAAUUGCUCUGGAAUGCUGUGGCCCAUUUCACCACCCAAGAAAACGAGGUCUGGGAAUAUUAAAUAACUUGCCUGCGGUCACUCCACUAACGGGUGCCAGAGUUGGGAUUCAAACCCCUGUCCACGUGGCCCAGAGCCGGAGUUUCCUGCACCAGACUGCACAGUGCUGCCCCCUACCGUCUCCAGCCUCUGGUCCUCUCUAUG